Molecule: long non-coding RNA, 727 nt
Organism: Misgurnus anguillicaudatus (oriental weatherfish)
Lineage: Eukaryota; Metazoa; Chordata; Actinopteri; Cypriniformes; Cobitidae
Source: RefSeq, a predicted model, not a curated record
UUUUAAUGUUACCACUACUACACUGUAGCAGAUCAGCUGUCCCGCGCUUCCGGACUGCACGUGACAUCUCCGCGCGUCACGACGCAUCAGCAACAAGACACGAUGUUUAAACACAGUCAACAGUUUGUAAACGGUGGACAUCAUUAUUAUCAGCGCUGCAGCGCUCCUGGCGGUUAUAUUGUGUUACUGCAGUUUCUCUUAUGCAACGAUGAAGAUUGGUGUUCAGUUAUCAGUUUAGAUGAGACAGACUGAACGCUGUAAUGAUGGAGGUAAAGAGAAGCAGAGCGCUGGCCAGGACCACCGGACCGCUCGACCGAUACACUAAACGUCCAUUACGAGACUGUACAGGUCGAAAUACUCCCACCAUCGGAUUGCCAUCAGAAAACUUUAGCUGGGAAGGAAAGGCCCGAAGCUGUUUGGAAAAAUUUGUUAUGAUCAUGAUCAAUGUAACUUUCAGGUCAAUCUGGUUUAUUUUUUCACUUAAUGUUUGCAAUUGGAUUUGUAAAUGUAUUCGGUCGUACCUGUUCUCUGCUGAGAGGAAUGGGAUUUUUAAAGACAGUCCAGACAACAGCUUCACUGCAGUUCGGUGUGGUCAGAGAUCCAUUGUAUCUGUAAUAUUUAGUCAUUUUGUCCUCUGACAAAAUAAAUUGGCUGAUCGAGAUGUUACGAAUGGUUGUGAUAUUAUCUGCAGAAAGACAGACAGAAAAAAUAAAUCUUCUGGUAUGAG